This 191-nucleotide ribosomal RNA is filed under the name uncultured bacterium. Its description in RNAcentral is "partial 16S ribosomal RNA". It matches the Rfam family "Bacterial small subunit ribosomal RNA", at positions 338 to 524 of the family's 1533-position model. The record is from RNAcentral.
CCUACGGGAGGCAGCAGUCGGGAAUUUUGGGCAAUGGGCGAAAGCCUGAUCCAGCAACCCCGCGUGAAGGAUGAAAUCCUUCGGGAUGUAAAAUUCGCAAGAAUGGGAAGAAUUCGUAGGGGUUACUACCCCCUAUGAUGAAGGUACCAUUUGUAAGCUCCGGCUAAUUCCGCGCCAGCAGCCGCGGUAAU